UUACCUACGUGGGUCCGAAGCUGUCGCCGACCUGCGCGGGGCGGAAGUCCCGCUGGACUGCCUCCUGGUAGGGAAGUCUCUCCGGCGUCAGGAAGCUGGAGAGCCACACCUGCCGCGGAGGUUACAGUCGGUAAAGUAGAGCGGCGACACGAACUUCUCCACCCGCUCCAGCGUGGUGCGCCAGUGCUUCAAGGCCGGCGCAGCCGCCAUCGUACUAAAUCUGAAGCCACAGUACUAUGGUACACAAGAAGCUAGAGCAGUUAUGCUAGCACAUCAAAGCAUAUUUCUUUUAAUAAAAAAUUGACAGUAUGUAACCUCAAAGCGUUCAUCUUCACAACGAUAAAUAUGUUCUUCAUAUUGAGUCUUCUUGGAACUCACAAAGGUAGAGUCCUCAGACCACGAAGGGAAGGAAACCCAGG
RNAcentral lists this long non-coding RNA (419 nucleotides) under Homo sapiens (human). RNAcentral's name for it is "long non-coding RNA NONHSAT171029". Lineage: Eukaryota; Metazoa; Chordata; Mammalia; Primates; Hominidae. The record is from RNAcentral.